RNAcentral lists this ribosomal RNA (486 nucleotides) under uncultured bacterium. RNAcentral describes it as "partial 16S ribosomal RNA". It matches the Rfam family "Bacterial small subunit ribosomal RNA", at positions 30 to 507 of the family's 1533-position model. The record is from RNAcentral.
AUUGAACGCUGGCGGCAUGCCUUACACAUGCAAGUCGAACGGCAGCGCGGACUUCGGUCUGGCGGCGAGUGGCGAACGGGUGAGUAAUACAUCGGAACGUACCCUGUUGUGGGGGAUAACUAGUCGAAAGAUUAGCUAAUACCGCAUACGACCUGAGGGUGAAAGUGGGGGACCGGAAACGGCCUCAUGCAGCAGGAGCGGCCGAUGUCUGAUUAGCUAGUUGGUGGGGUAAAGGCCCACCAAGGCGACGAUCAGUAGCUGGUCUGAGAGGACGAUCAGCCACACUGGGACUGAGACACGGCCCAGACUCCUACGGGAGGCAGUAGUGGGGAAUUUUGGACAAUGGGGGCAACCCUGAUCCAGCAAUGCCGCGUGUGUGAAGAAGGCCUUCGGGUUGUAAAGCACUUUUGUCCGGAAAGAAAUCGCGCUGGUUAAUACCUGGCGUGGAUGACGGUACCGGAAGAAUAAGCACCGGCUAACUACGUG